ACGCUCGACACCUACGGGAGGCAGCAGUGGGGAAUAUUGGGCAAUGGGCGAAAGCCUGACCCAGCAACGCCGCGUGAGGGAAGAAGGUUUUCGGAUUGUAAACCUCUGCCCUCAGGGACGAAGGACGUGACGGUACCUGAGGAGGAAGCCCCGGNUAACUACGUGCUAGCAGCCGCGGUAAUCUGAGCGGGCUGGCAAGGC
Molecule: ribosomal RNA, 201 nt
Filed under: uncultured bacterium
Lineage: Bacteria
Description: partial 16S ribosomal RNA
Rfam family: Bacterial small subunit ribosomal RNA
Source: RNAcentral